GAUGAAGAACGUAGCGAAAUGUGAUACUUGGUGUGAAUUGCAGAAUCCCGUGAACCAUCGAGUCUUUGAACGCAAGUUGCGCCCGAAGCCAUUAGGCCGAGGGCACGCCUGCCUGGGCGUCACACGUCGUUGCCCCCCCAUCUACUCCUUCGGGAUUGCGGGGGGCGGAUGAUGGCCUCCCGUGCGCCUCGUCGCGCGGUUGGCAUAAAUGCCAAGUCCUCGGCGACACACGCCACGACAAUCGGUGGUUGCGAAACCUCGGUUGCCCGUCGUGUGCGGUCGUCGCGCAUCGAGGGCUCGAAAAAAUUGCCGGGCUCCGGCUCGGCUUUCAACGCGACCCCAGGUCAGGCGGGGUUACCCGCUGAAUUUAAGCAUAUCAAUAAGCGGAGGA
Molecule: unclassified non-coding RNA, 391 nt
Filed under: soil metagenome
Description: partial contains 5.8S ribosomal RNA, internal transcribed spacer 2, and large subunit ribosomal RNA
Rfam family: 5.8S ribosomal RNA (bases 1-122)
Source: RNAcentral